This 75-nucleotide transfer RNA is filed under the name Euryarchaeota archaeon TMED97. RNAcentral describes it as "tRNA-His". It matches the Rfam family "tRNA". Rfam says of the family: Transfer RNA (tRNA) molecules are approximately 80 nucleotides in length. RNAcentral also lists the same sequence under 3 other names. Lineage: Archaea; Methanobacteriati; Methanobacteriota. The record is from RNAcentral.
GCUGUGAUGGUGUAGUGGUUAGCACGGUGGGUUGUGGUCCCGCCGGUCCGGGUUCAAUUCCCGGUCACGGCCCCA